AUCCCAGCUCCAAUAGCGUAUAUUAAAGUUGUUGUGGUUAAAAAGCUCGUAGUUGGAUCUCGGCGGUCUGAGGGCGGUUCGCUUCAGAGCGCUACUGCCCUAUAGACCGUAGUUUUGCCAGAGGUCUCAGGGUGCUCUUAACCGAGUGUCUUGCGAUGCUGGCAGGUUUACUUUGAAAAAAUUAGAGUGCUCAAAGCAGGCUUUUACGCCUGAAUAUUCGUGCAUGGAAUAAUAGAAUAGGAAGUCGUUUCUAUUUUGUUGGUUUUCGGAAAUCGACUUAAUGAUUAAUAGGGACAGUCGGGGGCAUUUGUAUUCAAACGACAGAGGUGAAAUUCUUGGACCGUUUGAAGACAAACUACUGCGAAAGCAUUUGCCAAGAAUGUUUUCAUUA
This 391-nucleotide ribosomal RNA is filed under the name Pseudocalanus sp. RNAcentral's name for it is "partial small subunit ribosomal RNA". It matches the Rfam family "Eukaryotic small subunit ribosomal RNA", at positions 582 to 975 of the family's 1831-position model. The record is from RNAcentral. Lineage: Eukaryota; Metazoa; Arthropoda; Copepoda; Calanoida; Clausocalanidae.